AAAACCUUUCAGUGCAAGGCAGCCUACAGACUUAGCAGGAAAGCAAACUGAGGAGGGGAAGUGCCCUGGUCAAGAGCCUUGUGAACAACACUGAGGAGUAAGGGCUUUAUCCUGCAUGAGAUGGAAUAUCCAGAUUUGUCUCUAGUUCUAUCAUGAAGACAACUAUUUAAGAGUGGAAAUCAGGGAUCAAGGGAAGGACACAGGUUCUGGGAAGACUGAAGCACCAAAUGUGACUCUGGGAGACCCUUUGGAUUCCAAGCUCAAUUGAAUGUAGCUGCUUUAUACAUAUUAUACCUCUAAAUGAGAUCUAA
Molecule: non-coding RNA, 311 nt
Organism: Microcebus murinus (gray mouse lemur)
Lineage: Eukaryota; Metazoa; Chordata; Mammalia; Primates; Cheirogaleidae
Source: RefSeq, a predicted model, not a curated record